CUCUCGCUACCAAAAUCUCCCUUCCUGUUUCUAAGGAGCGACAGUUCGCCGCUCCAAAAACGUUAAGGCGGGCGGCGACGCGAAAAGCCAUUCCAUCUUUGUCGCCAUCUCUCUUUCUAGCGGGGUGUUGGUGUUAGGUUAUAGCAUAAACGGCCUUGCCUGAGAGAGGGAGGGGCUUUCUAUGGCAAUGGAGGAACCAGGGCAGCUUCAACGGGCGCUAAUUGAUGCCACAGCUGGAGCAUUCGCUGGUGCUAUAUCGCGUACAGUUACCUCGCCGCUUGAUGUUAUUAAGAUCAGAUUCCAGGUUCAACUAGAGCCCACAUUUACACGGGCUUUGGUUCGUGGAAAUAUUGGUGAAUCAUCAAAGUACACUGGAAUGUUGCAAGCAACAAAGGAUAUAUUUAGAGAGGAAGGUUUGCCGGGUUUCUGGCGUGGCAACGUCCCUGCUUUACUUAUGGUUAUGCCAUACACUGCCAUACAAUU
Molecule: unclassified non-coding RNA, 483 nt
Filed under: Hevea brasiliensis (rubber tree)
Lineage: Eukaryota; Viridiplantae; Streptophyta; Magnoliopsida; Malpighiales; Euphorbiaceae
Source: RNAcentral